AUUUACACGGACUUCCGCGGUCAUUCCAUGGAACGCUGACGCCAAAUCGUUGGUCGUAAUAUUCGAAAACGGAAAUCAAUCUUCUAUAUUGUGCUAUAAUUAUUUAUUUCUAACGACGUCUAAAAUAAUCAACUGAUCUUCUCGUAACAGCCACAUCAUUUUAUCGCAUAGUAAGUUUGGAUCUUAGGCAGAGCUCUCAGUGUGUGUUAGGUGUCAAGAAAAAGAUUCUUCCUCAUCAGUGGACAUUACUUACAAUGACUUGGCGCAGUUAACUACUCCUUUUCUGCUUCUCCAUUUCAUUGUCCUUCGUUGAUGGGCCCUUUCUUCCUGCUCGCACGGUCGUCAUCUUUGUUCUCAUCGACUUCUUAUCUUUCGUCGUACCUUUUAGCUGUGUGAGUGAAGAAAGAAGAAGUUUCUCAAGUUUCUGAAGUCGAAGGUAAUACUU
This is a long non-coding RNA of Polistes dominula (European paper wasp), 445 nucleotides long. Lineage: Eukaryota; Metazoa; Arthropoda; Insecta; Hymenoptera; Vespidae. The record is from RefSeq and is a predicted model, not a curated record.